AUACGUAGGGUGCAAGCGUUGUUCGGAAUUACUGGGCGUAAAGGGCUCGUAGGCGGCCAACUAAGUCAGACGUGAAAUCCCCCGGCUUAACCUGGGAACUGCGUCUGAUACUGGACGGCUUGAGUAUGGGAGAGGGAUGUAGAAUUCCAGGUGUAGCGGUGAAAUGCGUAGAUAUCUGGAGGAAUACCGGUGGCGAAGGCGGCAUCCUGGACCAUUACUGACGCUGAGGCGCGAAAGCUAGGGGAGCAAACG
This 252-nucleotide ribosomal RNA is filed under the name uncultured prokaryote. RNAcentral describes it as "partial 16S ribosomal RNA". It matches the Rfam family "Bacterial small subunit ribosomal RNA", at positions 523 to 774 of the family's 1533-position model. The record is from RNAcentral.